UAUGUCUUCGGAUAUAGAGACCGGCGCACGGGUGCGUAACGCGUAUGCAAUCUACCUUUUACAGAGGGAUAGCCCAGAGAAAUUUGGAUUAAUACCUCAUAGUAUAGCUCUACCGCAUGGUAGUACUAUUAAAGUCACAACGGUAAAAGAUGAGCAUGCGUCCCAUUAGCUAGUUGGUAAGGUAACGGCUUACCAAGGCAACGAUGGGUAGGGGUCCUGAGAGGGAGAUCCCCCACACUGGUACUGAGACACGGACCAGACUCCUACGGGAGGCAGCAGUGAGGAAUAUUGGACAAUGGGCGCAAGCCUGAUCCAGCCAUGCCGCGUGCAGGAUGACGGUCCUAUGGAUUGUAAACUGCUUUUGUACGAGAAGAAACACUGCUUCGUGAAGCAGCUUGACGGUAUCGUAAGAAUAAGGAUCGGCUAACUCCGUGCCAGCAGCCGCGGUAAUACGGAGGAUCCAAGCGUUAUCCGGAAUCAUUGGGUUUAAAGGGUCCGUAGGCGGUUUAGUAAGUCAGUGGUGAAAGCCCAUCGCUCAACGGUGGAACGGCCAUUGAUACUGCUGAACUUGAAUUAUUAGGAAGUAACUAGAAUAUGUAGUGUAGCGGUGAAAUGCUUAGAGAUUACAUGGAAUACCAAUUGCGAAGGCAGGUUACUA
Molecule: ribosomal RNA, 658 nt
Filed under: uncultured Flavobacteriales bacterium
Lineage: Bacteria; Pseudomonadati; Bacteroidota; Flavobacteriia; Flavobacteriales
Description: bacterial SSU rRNA
Rfam family: Bacterial small subunit ribosomal RNA
Source: RNAcentral